UACGUAGGGACCAAGCGUUGUUCGGAUUUACUGGGCGUAAAGGGCGCGUAGGCGGCAACUCAAGUCAGCUGUGAAAUCUCCGGGCUUAACUCGGAACGGUCAGCUGAUACUGUGCGACUAGAGUGCAGAAGGGGCAACUGGAAUUCUCGGUGUAGCGGUGAAAUGCGUAGAUAUCGAGAGGAACACCUGCGGCGAAGGCGGGUUGCUGGGCUGACACUGACGCUGAUGCGCGAAAGCCAGGGGAGCGAACGGG
This 253-nucleotide ribosomal RNA is filed under the name uncultured bacterium. RNAcentral's name for it is "partial 16S ribosomal RNA". It matches the Rfam family "Bacterial small subunit ribosomal RNA", at positions 524 to 776 of the family's 1533-position model. The record is from RNAcentral.